CGCGGAUCAGCAUGCCGCGGUGAAUACGUUCUCGGGCCUUGUACACACCGCCCGUCACACCAUGGGAGUCGGUAACACCCGAAGUCUGUAGCCUGACGCAAGAGGGCGCAGCCGAAGGUGGGAUUGAUGACUGGGGUGAAGUCGUAACAAGGUACC
RNAcentral lists this ribosomal RNA (156 nucleotides) under uncultured bacterium. Its description in RNAcentral is "partial 16S ribosomal RNA". It matches the Rfam family "Bacterial small subunit ribosomal RNA", at positions 1343 to 1500 of the family's 1533-position model. The record is from RNAcentral.